This 1328-nucleotide long non-coding RNA is filed under the name Felis catus (domestic cat). RNAcentral describes it as "lncRNA (ENSFCAG00000051964.1)". Lineage: Eukaryota; Metazoa; Chordata; Mammalia; Carnivora; Felidae. The record is from RNAcentral.
CUGUCUUUGUGAGGUCAUUGAUGCAAUGUCUGUGUCAUAUCUGUGGGGGUUCUGACGCUUGCUUUCUCUCUCCGGGCCCUGCUUCUCUUGCUUUCGGGGUGUCCUUUGGUUUUUGUUGGAUGUGUGUCACAUGCCGGAAAGGAUCCUCCGAGGAUCUGGACGUGCGGACCCCGUGUUUGUGGUGUGCAGCUGGGGGCCAGGUGUCCGUGCGCUGGUUCCCGUCCCCGUGCUGGGACCUCUCUGUCCCAGGAGGGGCCCGCGGCCAGCACACCUGCCAGCUGUCCCCACGACAGCUGUGGUUCGACAGGAGGAGCACCCGUAACCUCAUCGCCCAGCUCUCUGUGCCUCUGGGCCUGUGCUGCCCAGGCUGCUGCUGUGUCCCCAGACACCCGGCCGCUGUGGCUGCACCUGUUUGCUUUCCUCCCCGAGCUGCGAAUACCACCAAGACACGAUUGGCGCUGCGAAGGAACCCUAAUGACCGCACCCUGCUUGUGCGGGAGAUGCUUUGGGGACGGCAGAAGCCCACAGCUGCUGACUGGAGCAGGUGCACAGGGAGCCCUCGAGGUCUCAGGGAGGAGCCCGAGCACAGGCGGCCCCACCAUACCCACGGACCGUUUCUCCUACGGGGAGUCUUACUAAGGGCAUGUGAAAGAGUCUUUGAGGAUACAUGGGCAACAACUUCCAUUAUGGGUAUGGAGGGUGACAUGUGUCAAGUGUGGUUUGGGUAGAAAGGGAUCAUAUUAUAGUUGUAUGACAUUCACCACGUGUGACCUGGCAUAUCCAUUCACAUGAGGAUCGACCUCUGGCAGGUACAGUGAAAUUCCCAGAGAAGAACUGUCUCUUAUGGCUUCUUUGCUACUAUCUCUGUCUCUAUUUGGUGGCAAGUCUUGUUGAAAGGGUCAGCUUUGUUAUUCCUCUUUGCCAUUUUCCCAUAGCACCUAUUAUGUGAUCGAUAUCGAAUCAAUAUCGAUUGACUACAUAGAUAAGUAACUGAAUGAAUUUUCUACGUAAAGAAAACUUUACUCUGGGAUAAUUUAAGAAAAAAAAUCUAUGAGAAGUUAAAUUUCUUCCCUUAACAUUGUGAAUAGUAAGACGUAUUUUCAGGGGCACCUGGGUGGCUCAGUCAUAAGCGUCCGUCUCUUGAUUUCAGCUCAGGUCGUGAUCUCAUGGUCGUGGGAUUGAGCCUUGCAUUGGGCUCUGAACUGACAGCACAGAGCCAACUUGGGAUUCUCUCUCUCUUUCUGCCCCUCCAUCCCUCUCUCUCUCUCUCUCUCUGUCUCUCUCUGUCUCAAAAUAAAUAAUAAACUUAAAAAAAAAGGAUGUGUUUU